Molecule: non-coding RNA, 233 nt
Organism: Pelobates cultripes (western spadefoot toad)
Lineage: Eukaryota; Metazoa; Chordata; Amphibia; Anura; Pelobatidae
Source: the annotation of a GenBank genome assembly
CAGGCUUGUCAUGCUUGAGCACUUUUUCAAUGGGCUCCCCAAUAACAAAGCGACGAUGCAUUCGUAUGUCAUCCAUAUCAACUUUCGAUGCCAUUUACUGCGCUUACCAUGGUGACCACAGGUAACAGGGAAUCAGGGUUUGAUUUCUGAGAGGGAGCCUGAGAAAUGGCUACCACAUUCAAGGAAGGCAGCAGGCACGCAAAAGACCCACUCCUGACGCGGGAAGGUAAUGA